Molecule: non-coding RNA, 126 nt
Filed under: Carlito syrichta (Philippine tarsier)
Lineage: Eukaryota; Metazoa; Chordata; Mammalia; Primates; Tarsiidae
Description: U4atac minor spliceosomal RNA (ENSTSYG00000030054.1)
Rfam family: U4atac minor spliceosomal RNA
About the family: U4atac is an essential component of the minor U12-type spliceosome complex which is required for removal of the rarer class of eukaryotic introns (AT-AC, U12-type). These interacting stem loops have been shown to be required for in vivo splicing.
Source: Rfam by way of RNAcentral
ACCAUCCUUUUCUCAGGGUUGGGCUACUGUCCAAUGAGCAUCUAGAGAGGGCAGUACUACUAGCGCCUACACAACAUACUGGCAUCAACUAGAGCUUUGCUUUAUCAUGGUGCAAUUUUUGGAAAA